GGGAAUCUUGCGCAAUGGGCGAAAGCCUGACGCAGCCAUGCCGCGUGGAUGAUGAAGGUCUUAGGAUUGUAAAAUCCUUUCAGCGGGGACGAUAAUGACGGUACCCGCAGAAGAAGCCCCGGCUAACUUCGUGCCAGCAGCCGCGGUAAUACGAAGGGGGCUAGCGUUGCUCGGAAUUACUGGGCGUAAAGGGCGCGUAGGCGGACAGUUAAGUCGGGGGUGAAAGCCCGGGGCUCAACCUCGGAAUUGCCUUCGAUACUGGCUGUCUUGAGUGUGAGAGAGGUGUGUGGAACUCCGAGUGUAGAGGUGAAAUUCGUAGAUAUUCGGAAGAACACCAGUGGCGAAGGCGACACACUGGCUCACUACUGACGCUGAGGCGCGAAAGCGUGGGGAGCAAAC
RNAcentral lists this ribosomal RNA (399 nucleotides) under uncultured bacterium. RNAcentral describes it as "bacterial SSU rRNA". It matches the Rfam family "Bacterial small subunit ribosomal RNA", at positions 357 to 773 of the family's 1533-position model. The record is from RNAcentral.